CUCUCACAGUGCCUCGUGUGGCGGUCGAUACUCACUUACCAGCGGAAGAUCCUCCUCUUAUUCCUUCUGAUACUGAGCCUCCUCUCGAGGAUACCCCCAUUAUCCCCCCUCCUUCUCCUGUUUCUAUGGAUAUUGACCUCUCCUCCUGCCACCUUGCCCCAGCCUCUCCUGUUCCCCCAGCCUCCCCAGUAUCUCCUCCUCACCUUGAAAACUGCAUUCUUGGCCUCGCAGCUGUUUGUCCAUCCCGCCCUGUAAUCUUUAACAGCAAUGCCUUAAGUCUUAAAAAACCCAGAACCGCAAGAAAUAAACCCACUUCACUUAACCCUUUUCAAAUACUAACCCCACCUGACCCCUCCCCUUCAAAUACCCCUCCUCACUCCCCUUCUUCCUCGCCUAAAUCACCACCAUCCAUAGCUUCCCUUAACCCUUUUGU
RNAcentral lists this long non-coding RNA (433 nucleotides) under Brassica napus (rape). RNAcentral's name for it is "long non-coding RNA (BNAP_LNC026983)". Lineage: Eukaryota; Viridiplantae; Streptophyta; Magnoliopsida; Brassicales; Brassicaceae. The record is from RNAcentral.